This 497-nucleotide ribosomal RNA is filed under the name uncultured bacterium. RNAcentral describes it as "partial 16S ribosomal RNA". It matches the Rfam family "Bacterial small subunit ribosomal RNA", at positions 28 to 507 of the family's 1533-position model. The record is from RNAcentral.
GAUGAACGCUGGCGGCGUGCCUAAUACAUGCAAGUCGAGCGAACGGACGAGAAGCUUGCUUCUCUGAUGUUAGCGGCGGACGGGUGAGUAACACGUGGAUAACCUACCUAUAAGACUGGGAUAACUUCGGGAAACCGGAGCUAAUACCGGAUAAUAUUUUGAACCGCAUGGUUCAAAAGUGAAAGGCGGUCUUGCUGUCACUUAUAGAUGGAUCCGCGCUGCAUUAGCUAGUUGGUAAGGUAACGGCUUACCAAGGCAACGAUGCAUAGCCGACCUGAGAGGGUGAUCGGCCACACUGGAACUGAGACACGGUCCAGACUCCUACGGGAGGCAGCAGUAGGGAAUCUUCCGCAAUGGGCGAAAGCCUGACGGAGCAACGCCGCGUGAGUGAUGAAGGCCUUCGGAUCGUAAAACUCUGUUAUUAGGGAAGAACAUAUGUGUAAGUAACUGUGCACAUCUUGACGGUACCUAAUCAGAAAGCCACGGCUAACUACGUG